UAAAAGGAAACGUAGGGAUUUAUUAGUGAUAUAGUUUGGAUAUUUGUCCCCACACAAAUCUCAAGUUGAAAUGUAAUCCCCAGUGUUGGAGGUGGGGACUAGUGGGAGGUAUUUUGGUCAUAGAGGCCAAUGUUUCAUGGCUGGGUGCUGUCCUUGCAAUAGUGAGUACCUACGAGAUCUGGUUAGGUUUUGAAAAACAUUUUCCUAAAAAUGCAUCAACCUGUUUGCUUUUGGUUGCUCUCUUUUUUAAAAGUCACUCUGAGAGAUUUGGGGAAGGGGCGUCUAAAUUGCUCAGACUCUGAUUUGGGGAUCUAGGAGUCUGGGACAAAAUUUUUGAGAUGGAGUCUCACUCUGUUGCCCAGGUUGGAGUGCAAUGGCGCAAUCUUGGCUCACUGCAACCUCAGCAUCCCAGGUUCAAAUGAUUCUCCUGCCUCAGCCUAGAAGAUUAGGAGAUGAAUUUGUUUUGAAAGACAGUACAGAGUUAGCCUUGACUGCAAAUUGGACAUUUUAUUGCAUUUGUCUGAUGGAUAAUCACAGAUAAAGACUUUGAUCUUUAUCCCCAUGGCAGCAAUAAGAAAAAGGCAGGAACUCUGUGUACUAUCUUUUAUUUCUUUUCUCUGCAGUUCUGGGAAAAUUGAGCCUAUUUAAAUGCUCAGA
RNAcentral lists this long non-coding RNA (657 nucleotides) under Homo sapiens (human). RNAcentral describes it as "non-protein coding lnc-SORCS1-9:1". The record is from RNAcentral. Lineage: Eukaryota; Metazoa; Chordata; Mammalia; Primates; Hominidae.